GUGAGGAAUAUUGGUCAAUGGGCGAGAGCCUGAACCAGCCAAGUCGCGUGAAGGAAGAAGGAUCUAUGGUUCGUAAACUUCUUUUGCAGGGGAAUAAAGUGCAGGACGUGUCCUGUUUUGUAUGUACCCUGAGAAUAAGGAUCGGCUAACUCCGUGCCAGCAGCCGCGGUAAUACGGAGGAUCCGAGCGUUAUCCGGAUUUAUUGGGUUUAAAGGGUGCGUAGGUGGUUUGAUAAGUCAGCGGUGAAAGUUUGCAGCUUAACUGUAAAAAUGCCGUUGAAACUGUCGGACUUGAGUGUAAAUGAGGUAGGCGGAAUGCGUUGUGUAGCGGUGAAAUGCAUAGAUAUCACGCAGAACUCCGAUUGCGAAGGCAGCUUACUAAGCUACAACUGACACUGAAGCACGAAAGCGUGGGGAUCAAACAGGAUUAGAAACCCGGGUAGUCC
RNAcentral lists this ribosomal RNA (445 nucleotides) under uncultured bacterium. RNAcentral describes it as "partial 16S ribosomal RNA". It matches the Rfam family "Bacterial small subunit ribosomal RNA", at positions 354 to 796 of the family's 1533-position model. The record is from RNAcentral.